This 442-nucleotide ribosomal RNA is filed under the name Penicillium sumatraense. RNAcentral's name for it is "eukaryotic LSU rRNA". The stretch from base 68 to 221 matches the Rfam family "5.8S ribosomal RNA". The record is from RNAcentral. Lineage: Eukaryota; Fungi; Ascomycota; Eurotiomycetes; Eurotiales; Aspergillaceae.
CGCCCGCCGAAGCCCCCCCUGAACGCUGUCUGAAGUUGCAGUCUGAGAAACUAGCUAAAUUAGUUAAAACUUUCAACAACGGAUCUCUUGGUUCCGGCAUCGAUGAAGAACGCAGCGAAAUGCGAUAACUAAUGUGAAUUGCAGAAUUCAGUGAAUCAUCGAGUCUUUGAACGCACAUUGCGCCCUCUGGUAUUCCGGAGGGCAUGCCUGUCCGAGCGUCAUUGCUGCCCUCAAGCACGGCUUGUGUGUUGGGCCCCCGUCCCCCCCUCUGCCGGGGGGACGGGCCCGAAAGGCAGCGGCGGCACCGCGUCCGGUCCUCGAGCGUAUGGGGCUUCGUCACCCGCUCUUGUAGGCCCGGCCGGCGCCAGCCGACCCCAACCCUAAAUUUUUGUCAGGUUGACCUCGGAUCAGGUAGGGAUACCCGCUGAACUUAAGCAUAUCA